This 1056-nucleotide long non-coding RNA is filed under the name Homo sapiens (human). RNAcentral describes it as "HSALNT0407864". The record is from RNAcentral. Lineage: Eukaryota; Metazoa; Chordata; Mammalia; Primates; Hominidae.
GGGAGCGGGAGUGGGAGUGCUCAGUCUCUCGGGUCGCCUGGAUAUUUAUGAAAAGGACGCCAGGGAAAGGGCUCCGCUGUAGACCGAAGGGAUAAGGGUUCGAUUCAGAAGGGAGCGUUAUUUUUAUCCCCUCUCCACAUAAUGGAACGUUUAAAUGGUUAAAUCAAGUACCUUGCAGGAGAGGGUGGGGUGGCCUUGAGAAUACACUCAAGGCCUCAGUACAUGCAGUCUGGAAGUGGGGGAAUCAAGAGCACCCUGUCUCUAGUACUGUCCUCAAUGAUAAGGUGAGGAAAGCCAAACCCAGGACUGGGAACAGGGCCUGGUCCAGAGCCAGGCGCUUGUUUAUUCUUGACUCUGCUCUCAAGGCGCUGAGGUUCCCAACCUGGACCAAGAAGUACAUAUUCAGGUUCAAAGGAUAAACCAAAACAAAACCUGAGCUCUCUCUCUAGAAUGAAGUGCCUGGUCCCAGUUCACCAUCUAAUAUUUAUGGAAAGCUUAUCAGAGAACAGAAGUGUCAGCAGAGGACUGUAAGUGCUAUGUGAUUGGACGACGGUGGCCAUAGAAUUUCACCUGCCCAGCACGUAUUCUCUCAUCCUCUCCUCCUCUGCCUUCUUUGGGCUAAAGAAGAAAAAUCACAUGACUAUAUCAGCGGAUGAAGAAAAAGUGUUUGACAAAAUCCAACUCUCAUUCAUGAGCAAAACCCCAAAUAAUCGAGACAUACAGGAUAACUUCCUCAUCUUGGUAAAUAAUAUCUUCAAAAGAAAUACAGCUAACAUGAUAGUCAAUGGUUGGAAAUUUGAAGCUUUCUUUCUAAGAGCAGGAACAAAGUAAGAAUGUCCCCUCUCACCAUUGCUUUCUACAUUUUACUGGAAGUCUUAGAUAAUUCUAUAGGACAAUAAAAAUGUAAGUAUACAGAUUAAGAAGGAAUACAUGCAAUUGUCUUCGUUCACAAAUGACAAGAUCUAUGUUAAAAAAUCCAAAAGAGUCAACAAAAAAUACCUCCUGGAACUAAUAAAUGAUUAUAACAAGGUUUUAGAAUAGAAGGUUAAUGGCCGG